AGCCGGAUAAUCGCGCAGAUGAAAAAUUCUGUGAGGAAAGUCCGGGCACCCCAGGGCAGACCGCCUGAUAACGUCAGGUACGGGCGACCGUGAGGAUAGUGCCACAGAAAUGCAGACUGCCGAUGAAUCCCGCAAGGAUAACAGGCGAUGGUGCAACGGCGAGGUAAGAGCUCACCGGCAGGGCUGAGAGGUCCUGGCCAGGUAAACCCCGGUCGGGUGCAAGGUUGACAAAAAGGUUAAGGUGACCCGCCGUCUUUUGACAAACCGCUUGAGCUUGCAGGCAACUGCAAGUCGAGACAGAUGAUUAUCUAGAAACAGAACCCGGCUUAUGAGCUGCUCC
Molecule: RNase P RNA, 340 nt
Filed under: human gut metagenome
Description: Bacterial RNase P class A
Rfam family: Bacterial RNase P class A
About the family: Ribonuclease P (RNase P) is a ubiquitous endoribonuclease, found in archaea, bacteria and eukarya as well as chloroplasts and mitochondria. Its best characterised activity is the generation of mature 5'-ends of tRNAs by cleaving the 5'-leader elements of precursor-tRNAs. Cellular RNase Ps are ribonucleoproteins.
Source: RNAcentral